RNAcentral lists this ribosomal RNA (1413 nucleotides) under uncultured bacterium. RNAcentral describes it as "bacterial SSU rRNA". It matches the Rfam family "Bacterial small subunit ribosomal RNA". The record is from RNAcentral.
CCGCUAAMBAUGCAUYGAACCGGUAAGCCCUUCGGGGUABACGAGUGGCCAACGGGUGAGUAACGCGUGAGUKACCUGCCCUUCACUCUGGGAUAKCAGUUGGAAACGGCUGCUAAUACCGGAUAUUCAGCUCCUGUCCGCAUGGUGGGGGUUGGAAAGUUUUGGUGGUGGAGGAUGGGCUCGCGUCCUAUCAGCUUGUUGGUGGGGUGAUGGCCUACCAAGGCGUCGACGGGUAGCCGGCCUGAGAGGGCGACCGGCCACAUUGGGACUGAGAUACGGCCCAAACUCCUACGGGAGGCAGCAGUGGGGAAUAUUGCACAAUGGGCGGAAGCCUGAUACAGCAACGCCGCGUGCGGGAUGACGGCCUUCGGGUUGUAAACCGCUUUCAGCAGGGACGAAGCGUGAGUGACGGUACCUGCAGAAGAAGCACCGGCUAACUACGUGCCAGCAGCCGCGGUGAUACGUAGGGUGCGAGCGUUGUCCGGAUUUAUUGGGCGUAAAGAGCUUGUAGGCGGUUGGUUGCGUCGAAAGUGCAAACUCAGGGCUUAACUCUGAGCCUGCUUUCGAUACGGGCUGACUGGAGGAAGGUAGGGGAGAAUGGAAUUCCCGGUGGAGCGGUGGAAUGCGCAGAUAUCGGGAGGAACACCAGUGGCGAAGGCGGUUCUCUGGACCUUUCCUGACGCUGAGAAGCGAAAGCGUGGGGAGCAAACAGGCUUAGAUACCCUGGUAGUCCACGCUGUAAACGGUGGGUACUAGGUGUGGGGGACAUUCCACGUUCUCUGUGCCGUAGCUAACGCAUUAAGUACCCCGCCUGGGGAGUACGGUCGCAAGACUGAAACUCAAAGGAAUUGACGGGGCCCGCACAAGCGGAGGAACAUGUGGUUUAAUUCGAUGAUACGCGAGGAACCUUACCUGGGCUUGAAAGGGGAACGACCUCCCGGGAAACCGGGAUUCUCUUCGGAGCGUUCUCCUAGGUGCUGCAUGGUUGUCGUCAGCUCGUGCCGUGAGGUGUCGGGUUAAGUCCCAUAACGAGCGCAACCCCUAUUGUUAGUUACCAGCGGGUAAUGCCGGGGACUCAUGGGAGACUGCCAGGGACAACCUGGAGGAAGGCGGGGAUGACGUCAAGUCAUCAUGCCCCUUAUGUCUUGGGCUACACACGUACUACAAUGGUCGGCAACAAAGGGCAGCGAAACCGCGAGGUGGAGCAAAUCCCAGAAACCCGGCCUCAGUUCGGAUUGCAGGCUGCAACUCGCCUGCAUGAAGUCGGAAUCGCUAGUAAUCGCGGGUCAGCAUACUGCGGUGAAUACGUCCCCGGGCCUUGUACACACCGCCCGUCAAGUCAUGAAAGUCGGUARCACCCGAAGCCGGUGGCCUAACCCUUGUGGAGGGAGCUGUCGAAGGUGGGAGCGGUAA